RNAcentral lists this ribosomal RNA (1135 nucleotides) under uncultured fungus. RNAcentral's name for it is "partial 28S ribosomal RNA". The stretch from base 1 to 662 matches the Rfam family "Eukaryotic large subunit ribosomal RNA", at positions 24 to 664 of the family's 3401-position model. Lineage: Eukaryota; Fungi. The record is from RNAcentral.
CCCGCUGAACUUAAGCAUAUCAAUAAGCGGAGGAAAAGAAACUAACAGGGAUUCCCCUAGUAACUGCGAGUGAAGCGGGAGGAGCUCAAAUUUGAAAUCUGGCAGCUCUCUGAACUGUCCGAGUUGUAAUCUAGAGAAGUGUUACCUGUGCUGGACCGUGUACAAGUCUCCUGGAAUGGAGCGUCACAGAGGGUGAGAAUCCCGUCUUUGACACGGACUGCCUGCAUGUUUAUGGCGCUCUCUCAAAGAGUCUAGUUGUUUGGGAAUGCAGCUCAAAAUGGGUGGUAAAUGCCAUCUAAAGCUAAAUAUUGGCGAGAGACCGAUAGCGAACAAGUACCGUGAGGGAAAGAUGAAAAGAACUUUGGAAAGAGAGUUAGACAGUACGUGCAAUUGCUGAAAAGGAAACGCUUGAAGUCAGUCACGUCGGCUAUAAACCAACCUUGCUUUUGCUUGGUGUACUUUCUCGUUGAUGCGUCAGCAUCGAUUUUGACCGAUGGAUAAAGUCGGUGGGAAUGUGGCAUCUUAGGAUGUGUUAUAUCCCAUUGUCGCAUACAGCGGUCGGGAUUGAGGAACUCAGCAUGCCCGCCAGCUACGGUUUUUGACCACAUAUCGAGCUUAGGAAGCUGGCAUAAUGGCUUUUAUCGACCCGUCUUGUAACACGGAAGGGGCGAGUUCUCGGCCGCUAAAAUUCAUUUCGCCUUAUAGUGGGCCGUAUAACAAUACACUGGGCGGCCGUUUUAAAACGACGUGAACGGCGAAAACCCCUGCGUUAACCAAACUUAAUCACCUUGCAGCCCCAUCCCCCUUUUCCCGCCCUGCCGGAAGUACCGAAGAAGCCCGCCCCGAUCGUCCCUUCCCCACAGUUUGUGCCGCCUAUACAUAAGGGGGUUUUUAUGGUUAUCACCUAUUAAAAAAAAAAAGCCGCUUUUCCCCCUGUUUUGUGGGAGGUACAAAAGGGAUAAUUAUUGAAACACCCCGCGGGGGCCGGAAGGGGGGACCCCCCCUGGGCCCGGGGCCCCCCCUUCCCGGGCAAAAAAAAGGCCCCCCCCGGGAACCCUUUUCCCCGGGGGGGGCCAAAACCGGGGGAGGAGAAAAAAUGGGGGCCAUUCAAGUGACCCCCACCAAAAAUAUCCCA